This 377-nucleotide unclassified non-coding RNA is filed under the name plant metagenome. Its description in RNAcentral is "partial contains 5.8S ribosomal RNA, internal transcribed spacer 2, and large subunit ribosomal RNA". The stretch from base 1 to 104 matches the Rfam family "5.8S ribosomal RNA", at positions 51 to 154 of the family's 154-position model. The record is from RNAcentral.
AAAUGCGAUAAGUAAUGUGAAUUGCAGAAUUCAGUGAAUCAUCGAAUCUUUGAACGCACCUUGCGCUCCUUGGUAUUCCUUGGAGCAUGCCUGUUUGAGUAUCAUGAAAUGUUCAAAGUAAAUCUUUUGUUAACUCAAUUGGUUUCUACUUUGGUAUUGGAGGUCUUUGCAGCUUCACACCUGCUCCUCUUUGUUCAUUAGCUGGAUCUCAGUGUUAUGCUUGGUUCCACUCGGCGUGAUAAGUUAUCUAUCGCUGAGGACACUGUAAAAGGUGGCCAAGGUAAAUGCAGAUGAACCGCUUCUAAUAGUCCAUUGACUUGGACAAUACUUUUAUGAUCUGAUCUCAAAUCAGGUAGGACUACCCGCUGAACUUAAGC